This 45-nucleotide non-coding RNA is filed under the name Schistosoma margrebowiei. Lineage: Eukaryota; Metazoa; Platyhelminthes; Trematoda; Strigeidida; Schistosomatidae. The record is from RNAcentral.
AUCCAGCUGACGAGUCCCACAUAGGACGGAACGCGUGUACUGGAU